CCUUGAGUUCUGGGCCGCACGCGCGUUACACUGACAGAGCCAGCGAGUUCUUCCUUGACCGAAAGGUCCGGGUAAUCUUGUUAAACUCUGUCGUGCUGGGGAUAGAGCAUUGCAAUUAUUGCUCUUCAACGAGGAAUCCCUAGUAGGCGUAAGUCAUCAACUUGCGCCGAUUACGUCCCUGCCCUUUGUACACACCGCCCGUCGCUACUACCGAUUGAAUGGCUCAGUGAGGCUUUCGGACUGGCCAGAGAGGUGGGCAACUACCACUCAGGGCCGGAAAGUUAUCCAAACUCGGUCAUUUAGAGGAAGUAAAAGUCGUAACAAGGUCUCCGUUGGUGAACCAGCGGAGGGAUCAUUAAAGAGUUGCAAAACUCCCAAACCAUUUGUUUAUCUACCUGUUUCGUUGCUUCGGCAGGCGGCUCUUCGGGGCCUUUGCUACCUGUAGUGCCUGCCGGAGUAUCCAAAACUCUUGUUAUUUUUGUUUUGUCUGAGUAAACUUUUAAUAGUUAAAACUUUCAACAACGGAUCUCUUGGUUCUGGCAUCGAUGAAGAACGCAGCGAAAUGCGAUAAGUAAUGUGAAUUGCAGAAUUCAGUGAAUCAUCGAAUCUUUGAACGCACAUUGCGCCCAUUAAUAUUCUAAUGGGCAUGCCUGUUCGAGCGUCAUUUCAACCCUCAAGCUCUCUUGCUUGGUGUUGGGGCUUCUGCGGCUUCGCCGCAGGCCCUGAAAAAAAUGGCGGGCUCCUAUAACUCCAACGUAAUAAUCUCUCUCCCUUUGGAAAAAUACGG
Molecule: ribosomal RNA, 787 nt
Filed under: Ascomycota sp. LM459
Lineage: Eukaryota; Fungi; Ascomycota
Description: bacterial SSU rRNA
Rfam family: Eukaryotic small subunit ribosomal RNA (bases 1-358)
Source: RNAcentral